UCUAAUAGUACAAUUAAAUUUUAUUGGUUAGUGAUAAGACGUUAUUUUUAAAUUAAAAUAGAGAUUUUUAGGUGAAAUUAAAAUUAUUCAAAAUUUAGGUUUUUGGUUGAUUUCUUUAAAUUCAUUAAUAAACUAGGAUUAGAUACCCUAUUAUUAGAAAUGUAAAUUUAUUACUUUAUAAUUAAUAGUUAUUUUCUUUAAAGUAAAAAAAUUUGGCGGUAUUUUAACUGAUCAGAGGAACCUGUUCUGUAAUUGAUGAUCCACGAUUAUACACACUUAUUUUAAGGUUUACAUAUCGUUGUUUAAAAUAUAUUUAUAAAUUAUAUUUGUUUUUUUAUUAUGAAACUAAUUCAGAUCAAGGUGUAGCUUAUAAAUAAGAAGAAAUGGGUUACUUUAAUUUUAAUUAAGAAUAGAAUUUUUUAAAAAUUUUUGAAUUUGGAUUUGUUAGUAAAUUUUUAUAUAUUUAAAUUUUGAUUUUGGCUCUAAAAU
This 489-nucleotide ribosomal RNA is filed under the name Discomorpha salvini. Its description in RNAcentral is "partial 12S small subunit ribosomal RNA". Lineage: Eukaryota; Metazoa; Arthropoda; Insecta; Coleoptera; Chrysomelidae. The record is from RNAcentral.